RNAcentral lists this ribosomal RNA (378 nucleotides) under uncultured eukaryote. RNAcentral's name for it is "partial 18S ribosomal RNA". It matches the Rfam family "Eukaryotic small subunit ribosomal RNA", at positions 592 to 976 of the family's 1831-position model. The record is from RNAcentral.
CAAUAGCGUAUAUUUAAGUUGUUGCAGUUAAAAAGCUCGUAGUUGGAUUUCGGGUGGGACGCAGCGGUCUCGCAUUGCGUUUGUACUGCUGCAGCCCUCCUUCUUGCCGGGGGCGGCCUCUCGGACUUCACUGUCUGGGGGUCAGAAUCGGCGAUGUUACUUUGAGUAAAUUAGAGUGUUCAAAGCAAGCUUACGCUCUGAAUAUAAUAGCAUGGGAUAACACGACAGGACUCUGGCCUAUCGUGUUGGUCUAUAGGACCAGAGUAAUGAUUAAGAGGGACAGUCGGGGGCAUUCGUAUUCCGUUGUCAGAGGUGAAAUUCUUGGAUUUACGGAAGACGAACAUCUGCGAAAGCAUUUGCCAAGGAUGUUUUCAAUGA